Molecule: non-coding RNA, 740 nt
Organism: Cyanistes caeruleus (blue tit)
Lineage: Eukaryota; Metazoa; Chordata; Aves; Passeriformes; Paridae
Source: RefSeq, a predicted model, not a curated record
AAAAGGUAGCAACUUCUUUCAAACCAUGAAGGAGAUGCUCAGCAGAAUGCUGUAUAGCCUGGAUUAACAGUUAAUGUGUUUGUGUUGGUAAGAGCUUGGGAAAACAAGUUUCAGAAAUGAGCACCAAUCUUCAGUAAUAGUGUGAGUGCAUAGAGUAAACAUCACAGAUAACUGACUGUGUGGCUGGAGCAGAUGGAACCUUUUAUAGCACCAGCUGAGACAAGGUUUGGCCUGGACAAACAUCCUUGCAGAUUUGCAAUCUCCCACAAGAGCUUUCCUGUACAUGCUGGUAUCUUUUUGAGGAAGUAAAAAUGGGCUGACACUUAUUCCAGAAGUAAGUGGGAAGGAAGAUCAUCCCCAAGAUCAGGCAAUUAACGUUGGCACCAAAAAUGGUUUGAAUGAUGAGCCUUCCUUGACUCCACUGAUGCUGACAGAAGUCUAAUUCCCUGAUCAGAGAUGUAAGUGAUGAGAAGCAUGUUCUCUGCAUGCAACUGACAAACAAGUGUGACCACACUCCAUACUGGAUAUUGUGUUUAUGCUCCUCCAGUGCAGUAAUGACAGAGAAACCAUAAGUAAUCAAGACACACUGUGCAUUCCAGGAGAAACUGCCACUUGCUCAUGUCUGGCUUCAUCCUGUAAAGCGGAAAACAGCAGCGAUUGUGUGACUCUAUUCAAGUGCUAUGUGUUGUUCUGCAUCUUUCUUCUCUGCACCCCAAACUAAAAACUUUCAAAUAAAAAUA